RNAcentral lists this ribosomal RNA (484 nucleotides) under uncultured bacterium. RNAcentral's name for it is "partial 16S ribosomal RNA". It matches the Rfam family "Bacterial small subunit ribosomal RNA", at positions 30 to 507 of the family's 1533-position model. The record is from RNAcentral.
AUUGAACGCUGGCGGCAGGCCUAACACAUGCAAGUCGAGCGGAUGAAGGGAGCUUGCUCCUGGAUUCAGCGGCGGACGGGUGAGUAAUGCCUAGGAAUCUGCCUGGUAGUGGGGGAUAACGUCCGGAAACGGGCGCUAAUACCGCAUACGUCCUGAGGGAGAAAGUGGGGGAUCUUCGGACCUCACGCUAUCAGAUGAGCCUAGGUCGGAUUAGUUAGUUGGUGGGGUAAAGGCCUACCAAGGCGACGAUCCGUAACUGGUCUGAGAGGAUGAUCAGUCACACUGGAACUGAGACACGGUCCAGACUCCUACGGGAGGCAGCAGUGGGGAAUAUUGGACAAUGGGCGAAAGCCUGAUCCAGCCAUGCCGCGUGUGUGAAGAAGGUCUUCGGAUUGUAAAGCACUUUAAGUUGGGAGGAAGGGCAGUAAAUUAAUACCUUGCUGUUUUGACGUUACCAACAGAAUAAGCACCGGCUAACUUCGUG